RNAcentral lists this long non-coding RNA (295 nucleotides) under Elaeis guineensis (African oil palm). RNAcentral describes it as "long non-coding RNA (EGUI_LNC060040)". Lineage: Eukaryota; Viridiplantae; Streptophyta; Magnoliopsida; Arecales; Arecaceae. The record is from RNAcentral.
GACUUUAAUGCUCAAUCAAAUUGAGUUAAUUAGUGAUCUAAUCACUAACUAAUCCCCUAAUAAUGAUAGAGUCCCAAUCUAGUGGGACUCUUCACCAGAGUCUCCAUCUAGUGGGACUCUUCACCAGAGUCCCAGUCCAAUGGGACUCUUCAGAUCAGCCAUCUUAUCAGAGAAGAACUAAUGUGUGUGAUCCUAUAGGUUUGAACCUAAGCUGGUAGCAUAGAAAUAGAUUUUUAUACCAAUCAAAGUAACCAUCUGUAAUGAUACCCGAUGUUCGGAUAGGUCGAAUGUAUGC